Canis lupus familiaris (dog) is the source of this 1903-nucleotide long non-coding RNA. RefSeq lists it as uncharacterized. Lineage: Eukaryota; Metazoa; Chordata; Mammalia; Carnivora; Canidae. The record is from RefSeq and is a predicted model, not a curated record. The transcript is spliced from 5 exons.
UGCAAAAAUAUUAGUGAUGGAAGCCAUUUUGUGUUCAUAUUUUAUUUAUACUUACAGAUAUGUAUCUAUACGGACAUAUGCAUAUAGUUAUUUAUUUUUUUGUUUUCCUGAGACAGGCUCGCAACAAAAUUUUCAAGUGCAGAGGGAGGAAGUCACGUUUCUAACGCUGACAGAGCCACCGGAUUAAAAGUGGAUCGUGCCUACACCGUGAUCUCCCCUCUACGAGGUUCCAGGGGAAAAAGGUGUGUGGGUGUGAUCGCUGUAAAUGGAUUGCCAGUCUCUUAACAGUCCAUCAUUCUUAAAUGAUAGAAGUGUAGCAGCACCCUCUGAGAAAAAUCUUUCCUGUGGAUUUGACUUUGUCCAUGCCACGACAAAUUGCGUGCAAAGUUGGAACAAUUCUGAGGUGUAAGACACCUCCAUGACUGUCCUUGGAAUACUGAGGAGCUGACAUUCCUAUUUGGAAGAUGAGGGGAGCAUGGCCCCUGCCCUCUUAAUUGAUGAUUUACCGUGCUCUCCCUAGGGCCACAACCGAUGAUCGUGAGACCCCUCGGGGCUGCCAUGAAUAUCCCGGUUCUACUCCCUCCUGAACUCUAAUAUCAAGAUUAUGAUACAUUUUGGUUGCUGAGCUGGACCUUGUGGACGAGAAACACUGGCUUCCCAAAUCCGAGAUUUAGUUUCUAAAACUUUAAGCCACGGAGGCUCGGAAGAGGUUCCAGAACGUGUGUCCGAAGGCCGCGUGGGACGUUGAAGUGGAGAAAGAGAUUGUUUGAGAUUUUCAAGUAACCGGAUAAUCUGGACGGGAGGACAUUGCAGAUUGCAUUCUUACCCAAAUACUCUUCGUGAUUGUUGCCUGCUUUGCGGCUUUGGGUUAUAACCCGGCCUUUUCAUUGACGGACAACUGAGAUCAAAAAUCUUAAAUUUGGUAUUUCGAGGUUUGUAUUUCCAGAUAUCCCCAAACUCUUCCUUUUCUGGUGGCCCCUCCCCAGCGUGUUCUGACGUGGUCUAUUUCAAACAAAAGAAAAUGACAUCCCUCUUUCAACUAGUAAACGUUGGCUUCUCCAAACCGACCAGGGGCAAACUGGAAGUUUUGCCAUUAGGUUCACACAAACUGAACUGCGUUCAACAUUCCCAAACAUUCUCCUCUGAACUUCACAAAUGUGACGAUACUGAGUUUAGAGUUUCCUGUGGCUUGUUGACAAAUAAAGGUACCUCGGUAGAAACCAAGCUCUGUGCAUUUUUGGGAAACGAGAACGUGGAACGAUCCCAUAUUAAAACAUUACAAAAGGACUGUAAAGGGAAAUUUAAAAGGGGGAAAACUUGAUUAUAUAAUGCAAUCCAGCAGUAAUCAAUUUUACCUUCAAUAUCUUGCUUUUGUUUUCAAAAUGCUAAAUAAACAAUACAUAAUGCAUCCCUCAUCAGCCAAACCAUGGAGGCUCUGUGCUCAAAUAACAGGAAACAUAUUCAAUUUUCCUAACAGAAGACAGUUCAUUAAGCUGUGCCACAUCAAAUAAAACUUUAAUUUCUCCAGCAUCAGAGUCGCAAUGAAAGCAAUUGAAGAAGAUGAGCCAUAUGGUACUUCUAUCAGCAAACACAUAUUGCUCAUUCCCCCAAAGUUUUCUAAUUCUGCUCCCCAGACCUGUGUAAUAUAGAUAAUGUGCUCCGAGAGCAGCAACCAUGAGCUAUCUAGUGUACACUUCUAAUACUGUAUUUAAUGGGAAAUAAUGAAUCAUAAAAGCCUGGAGAAGACGGCUUUUGCUAACCUAAAUCUCAGCUGUAAUUUCAUUGUUCUGUGCCUAAGAUGCUGUUCGCCCUUUCCAAACAACAGCAGUUGAACAUAAUUAUGCUGCUUCAAACCUGGGCUUGAAAAAGCAUCCCUAAUAGAACCAAGUUUCUAUUAACUCCU